Schistosoma curassoni is the source of this 46-nucleotide non-coding RNA. The record is from Rfam. NCBI's taxonomy places the organism in Eukaryota, Metazoa, Platyhelminthes, Trematoda, Strigeidida, Schistosomatidae.
UCACCGAUGAAGAGUCCCAUACUAGGACGAAACGGCCGUCCAGUGC